This is a long non-coding RNA of Oreochromis aureus, 391 nucleotides long. RefSeq lists it as uncharacterized. NCBI's taxonomy places the organism in Eukaryota, Metazoa, Chordata, Actinopteri, Cichliformes, Cichlidae. The transcript is spliced from 3 exons. The record is from RefSeq and is a predicted model, not a curated record.
AAAGAGAAUACUCCAGAACCCAGGGUCUCAGUGUAUGCCUUGCAUGUGAGAGGAAGAUGGCGUUUUGAAAUACUGGAUGCAAUAAACAAUGCACUGGAGUUAGUGGAUCAAGCUGGAAUUAGUGAGGUUGUUGCAGCUCUUCAGGGGUCUCAGUCUCAGAGCAAUGAUGUGCCAGCCACUAUUGUUGCAGCUGUUAAAGAGCUUCAGUCCAGCAAUGAUGAUGUGCCGACCAAUGCAGAUGAUGUUGCUGAUGGGAAUGGAAAAUGACUGCCAAUAAAGACAUACAAACAUAGCUACACACACACAAGCAUGCAUGCACCUGCACACAGAUGUUCAUAUACAACAAUGUUCAGAUAAAGUUCAAUAAAGUUCUUGUUGUUCAACGGCAAAA